RNAcentral lists this ribosomal RNA (450 nucleotides) under uncultured bacterium. RNAcentral describes it as "partial 16S ribosomal RNA". It matches the Rfam family "Bacterial small subunit ribosomal RNA", at positions 354 to 796 of the family's 1533-position model. The record is from RNAcentral.
GUGGGGAAUAUUGGACAAUGGGCGAAAGCCUGAUCCAGCCAUGCCGCGUGUGUGAAGAAGGUCUUCGGAUUGUAAAGCACUUUAAGUUGGGAGGAAGGGCAUUAACCUAAUACGUUAGUGUUUUGACGUUACCGACAGAAUAAGCACCGGCUAACUUCGUGCCAGCAGCCGCGGUAAUACGAAGGGUGCAAGCGUUAAUCGGAAUUACUGGGCGUAAAGCGCGCGUAGGUGGUUUUGUAAGUUGGAGGUGAAAUCCCCGGGCUCAACCUGGGAACUGCCUCCAAAACUGCAUGACUAGAGUACGGUAGAGGGUAGUGGAAAUUCCUGUGUAGCGGUGAAAUGCGUAGAUAUAGGAAGGAACACCAGUGGCGAAGGCGACUACCUGGACUGAUACUGACACUGAGGUGCGAAAGCGUGGGGAGCAAACAGGAUUAGAUACCCGGGUAGUCC